AGGAUCUCAUCAGGAUCAGGAUCAUUGUCGAUGGGGGUCCUCCUUUAUAGACCCACUCUCAUUUCGCUUUUCGCUUUUCAAUAAAUAUUUUCAAAUAUAUCGUCGUGUCGGAACCACUUACCCCACUCAUUGUUGUUGCUCCCACCUUCUUGUCCGUCCGUUCACGUGGCGUUGCCUAACCCCAUUCAUUCCGUUUGUUAUCCAUAAUUCAAUUCCUUGUUUAUAUACCUAACAUUUUUUUGGUUGCACAAUCAACGGUGGACUGUGCCAACUUCAUUCAUCUUCAACAUCAACUUCAGAGGGAAGCUCUUGGCCAACACUAUAAUAAUAUGAACUUUAGCUUUGCCUAUUUCGUCCCUUAUCUCUUAAAUUUUGUCACAUGUUUUCGCUCACCAAUGCAUCUGUCUAUGAUGCUAAUGCUAUACUGUCUCAAGAAAAUAUGUUUGGAGGAAUGUUCUUGUAAACAAAAACAAGGGUCGAGAGGAAUUCAUGCUUUUUGAGAGUUGUAGAUGAAGUCAUUCAAUGACAAUGAACGACAUCCCCGUGACAUGUCAGAAAUAAACUUCUAGCCUCUGCUUUGUUCAUCAAAGCCUUCAACCCAAGCGUGCUUUCGUUUGGUGGUUCAGUCUGAAGGGCGUUGAAACGUAGCUCUCCCGUUCGAUGAGGGCUAAUUUACCCUACUCUGGUCCUUAGUCCAUGGACACGUACAAAGCCCGAAAUUCGCGGAUAAAAAUAAAAACAAAAGCCUUCUAUCGUCAUAAAUCAACUUCACGUAUCUAAAGUUCCAUUCUAGCUAGCCAAGGGUUGGUCUAAUAUAAUUUAAAGCCUUAAAGCCAAAGAAAUUUAUGGACCCUUAUCUUAACUAUAAAUUCUAGAAAGGGUGUAUAUGAAAUGCUUUUUAGCUAGCCCUGGUGAAAGCAAUCAAGCCAAAGUAUUUUUUCUUUUCUAAGUAUUAAUCAAGCCGAAGUAGUCGAAGCUUUUUUGUUUAUUUAA
Arabidopsis thaliana (thale cress) is the source of this 993-nucleotide RNA transcript. RefSeq lists it as uncharacterized. The record is from RefSeq. Lineage: Eukaryota; Viridiplantae; Streptophyta; Magnoliopsida; Brassicales; Brassicaceae. The transcript has a single exon.